This 455-nucleotide ribosomal RNA is filed under the name uncultured bacterium. Its description in RNAcentral is "bacterial SSU rRNA". It matches the Rfam family "Bacterial small subunit ribosomal RNA", at positions 340 to 786 of the family's 1533-position model. The record is from RNAcentral.
UACGGAAGGCAGCAGUGGGGAAUAUUGCACAAUGGGCGAAAGCCUGAUGCAGCUAUGCCGCGUGUAUGAAGAAGGCCUUAGGGUUGUAAAGUACUUUCAUCGGGAAGGAAAAACAAAACUAAUAAUUUUAUUUCUUGACGUUACCCGAAAAAGAAGCACCGGCUAACUCCGUGCCAGCAGCCGCGGUAAUACGGAGGGUGCUAGCGUUAAUCAGAAUUACUGGGCGUAAAGAGCACGUAGGUGGUUUUUUUAAGUCAGAUGUGAAAUCCCUGGGCUUAACCUAGGAACUGCAUUUUGAAACUGAAAUACUAGAGUAUCGUAGAGGGAGGUAGAAUUCUAGGUGUAGCGGUGAAAUGCGUAGAUAUCUGGAGGAAUACCUGUGGCGAAAGCGGCCUCCUAAACGAAUACUGACACUGAGGUGCGAAAGCGUGGGGAGCAAACAGGGAUUAGAUACC